AGUCACCUUAGGGUUAUUACUAUUUCCAAUCACCCAAAAUCACAUGCAAAUUCUUGGCUAAACUCCUCACAACCCAAGGAUUAAGGCAAUUAAGGUAAUAGAAAAAUAUACUCUUCUUUCCUCACCAAUCUCUCUGCCUCUCGUACUCUCUCAUUCUCACAAACUCCAAUUUCACUCUCAAUUCUUAAUUGCAUGUGUUGUUCAUUCAAUCAUAAGGAUAUGGGCCAUUGGAAUUCUAAGGUAAAAGUAGUAAUUUCAGUUUCAUUCCUUUUUUCUAUGAACCCUAAGACCAAUAUAUGUCCCUACCCAUUGGAUUGAUUGUUUGUACAUGAUUUUAUGUUUUGGAACACUCAUGAGAGCUUGGGGCCUGCAUUGAACAAGAAAAUAGGAGAGAAGAACAGAAAUUGGAAACAAGCAAAAAUUGGAAUGAGCCUAAGGAAAUUCGUGUUUGAGAUAUGCCUGCAGUAAAACAGUAAGUACUCUCUCCCUGUAACUCCGAAUUGAGUGAUUUUUGUUUCUAUGAAAAGCUGACGCAAUUCCCUUCGACUGAGUACCAAUUUGGUAAUUUUUGGAUUAAUAAUGAAGUCUCAGUCCACGUUUGAAUCUAGGGUACUGAUGCUGUCAAAUUCUGGUUUUUGGAUUGUGAGUUUUACGCGCUCGGAUGCUCGAGAGUGUACGGAUCAGUUCAGUGAUGCGGAUCGAACCCAGGC
Molecule: long non-coding RNA, 710 nt
Filed under: Trifolium pratense (red clover)
Lineage: Eukaryota; Viridiplantae; Streptophyta; Magnoliopsida; Fabales; Fabaceae
Description: long non-coding RNA (TPRA_LNC004445)
Source: RNAcentral